RNAcentral lists this non-coding RNA (24 nucleotides) under Arabidopsis thaliana (thale cress). Lineage: Eukaryota; Viridiplantae; Streptophyta; Magnoliopsida; Brassicales; Brassicaceae. The record is from RNAcentral.
UAGGGUUCUUUGAUUUUCUUUUGC